GUGCACCAGUCGAGAAACCUCCGCAAUGCGGGAAACCGUGACGGGGUCACCCCGAGUGCCACCCGAUGAGGGUGGCUUUUCCCCGGUCUAAAAAGCCGGGGGCAAUAAGCGGGGGCAAGUCUGGUGUCAGCCGCCGCGGUAAUACCAGCCCCGCGAGUGGUCGGGACGUUUAUUGGGCCUAAAGCGUCCGUAGCCGGCUCGGUAAGUCCCUCCUUAAAUCCACGGGCUCAACCCGUGGGCUGGGAGGGAUACUGCCGGGCUAGGGGGCGGGAGAGGCCGAGGGUACUCCCGGGGUAGGGGCGAAAUCCGUUAAUCCCGGGAGGACCACCAGUGGCGAAGGCGCUCGGCUGGAACGCGCCCGACGGUGAGGGACGAAAGCUAGGGGAGCAAA
This 391-nucleotide ribosomal RNA is filed under the name uncultured microorganism. RNAcentral's name for it is "bacterial SSU rRNA". It matches the Rfam family "Archaeal small subunit ribosomal RNA", at positions 330 to 723 of the family's 1478-position model. The record is from RNAcentral.